AUAUUCAGCUUUGAUGAAUUGAGAGAGUGUUUGGGCUGGAUUGGUUUCUGCUGAGGUGAAGUGGAGGAUUGGUACUGGUCAGCACUGUGGAGACAGGGAAGGUGUGUGGGGUGAAAGAAGCUGAGGGC
Molecule: non-coding RNA, 128 nt
Organism: Chiloscyllium plagiosum (whitespotted bambooshark)
Lineage: Eukaryota; Metazoa; Chordata; Chondrichthyes; Orectolobiformes; Hemiscylliidae
Source: RefSeq, a predicted model, not a curated record